UACGGCCAUAUCACGUUGAUAUGCCGGUUUUCAUACGAUCUCCGAAGUUAACCAACGUCGAGCUUGUUUCCUAUCAAGAUGAGUGACUACUUGGGAAUAAUAGGUGCU
This is a non-coding RNA of Acanthosepion pharaonis, 108 nucleotides long. NCBI's taxonomy places the organism in Eukaryota, Metazoa, Mollusca, Cephalopoda, Sepiida, Sepiidae. The record is from the annotation of a GenBank genome assembly.